GGACGAACAGCGGCGGGCGUGUCUUAUACAUGCAAGUCGAACGAACUCUGGUAUUGAUUGGUGCUUGCAUCAUGAUUUACAUUUGAGUGAGUGGCGAACUGGUGAGUAACACGUGGGAAACCUGCCCAGAAGCGGGGGAUAACACCUGGAAACAGAUGCUAAUACCGCAUAACAACUUGGACCGCAUGGUCCGAGUUUGAAAGAUGGCUUCGGCUAUCACUUUUGGAUGGUCCCGCGGCGUAUUAGCUAGAUGGUGRGGUAACGGCUCACCAUGGCAAUGAUACGUAGCCGACCUGAGAGGGUAAUCGGCCACAUUGGGACUGAGACACGGCCCAAACUCCUACGGGAGGCAGCAGUAGGGAAUCUUCCACAAUGGACGAAAGUCUGAUGGAGCAACGCCGCGUGAGUGAAGAAGGGUUUCGGCUCGUAAAACUCUGUUGUUAAAGAAGAACAUAUCUGAGAGUAACUGUUCAGGUAUUGACGGUAUUUAACCAGAAAGCCACGGCUAACUACGUGCCAGCAGCCGCGGUAAUACGUAGGUGGCAAGCGUUGUCCGGAUUUAUUGGGCGUAAAGCGAGCGCAGGCGGUUUUUUAAGUCUGAUGUGAAAGCCUUCGGCUCAACCGAAGAAGUGCAUCGGAAACUGGGAAACUUGAGUGCAGAAGAGGACAGUGGAACUCCAUGUGUAGCGGUGAAAUGCGUAGAUAUAUGGAAGAACACCAGUGGCGAAGGCGGCUGUCUGGUCUGUAACUGACGCUGAGGCUCGAGAGUAUGGGUAGCAAACA
RNAcentral lists this ribosomal RNA (783 nucleotides) under Lactiplantibacillus plantarum. RNAcentral describes it as "bacterial SSU rRNA". It matches the Rfam family "Bacterial small subunit ribosomal RNA", at positions 26 to 774 of the family's 1533-position model. Lineage: Bacteria; Bacillati; Bacillota; Bacilli; Lactobacillales; Lactobacillaceae. The record is from RNAcentral.